This 390-nucleotide ribosomal RNA is filed under the name uncultured bacterium. RNAcentral's name for it is "bacterial SSU rRNA". It matches the Rfam family "Bacterial small subunit ribosomal RNA", at positions 355 to 762 of the family's 1533-position model. The record is from RNAcentral.
UGGGGAAUAUUGCACAAUGGGGGAAACCCUGAUGCAGCGACGCCGCGUGGAGGAAGAAGGUCUUCGGAUUGUAAACUCCUGUUGUUGAGGAAGAUAAUGACGGUACUCAACAAGGAAGUGACGGCUAACUACGUGCCAGCAGCCGCGGUAAAACGUAGGUCACAAGCGUUGUCCGGAAUUACUGGGUGUAAAGGGAGCGCAGGCGGGAGAACAAGUUGGAAGUGAAAUCCAUGGGCUCAACCCAUGAACUGCUUUCAAAACUGUUUUUCUUGAGUAGUGCAGAGGUAGGCGGAAUUCCCGGUGUAGCGGUGGAAUGCGUAGAUAUCGGGAGGAACACCAGUGGCGAAGGCGGCCUACUGGGCACCAACUGACGCUGAGGCUCGAAAGUGU